AAACACCAGGGUGGAUUG
Molecule: ribosomal RNA, 18 nt
Filed under: Acmella minima
Lineage: Eukaryota; Metazoa; Mollusca; Gastropoda; Littorinimorpha; Assimineidae
Description: Paludinella minima partial 18S ribosomal RNA
Source: RNAcentral